GACGAACGCUGGCGGCGUGCUUAACACAUGCAAGUCGAACGGAAAGGCCCUGCUUUUGUGGGGUGCUCGAGUGGCGAACGGGUGAGUAACACGUGAGUAACCUGCCCUUGACUUUGGGAUAACUUCAGGAAACUGGGGCUAAUACCGGAUAGGAGCUCCUGCUGCAUGGUGGGGGUUGGAAAGUUUCGGCGGUUGGGGAUGGACUCGCGGCUUAUCAGCUUGUUGGUGGGGUAGUGGCUUACCAAGGCUUUGACGGGUAGCCGGCCUGAGAGGGUGACCGGCCACAUUGGGACUGAGAUACGGCCCAGACUCCUACGGGAGGCAGCAGUGGAGAAUAUUGCACAAUGGGCGGAAGCAUGAUGCAGCAACGCCGCGUGCGGGAUGACGGCCUUCGGGUGGUAAACCGCUUUCGCCUGUGACGAAGCGUGAGGGACGGUAAUGGGUAAAGAAGCACCGGCUAACUACGU
RNAcentral lists this ribosomal RNA (467 nucleotides) under uncultured bacterium. RNAcentral's name for it is "partial 16S ribosomal RNA". It matches the Rfam family "Bacterial small subunit ribosomal RNA", at positions 28 to 506 of the family's 1533-position model. The record is from RNAcentral.